Molecule: ribosomal RNA, 713 nt
Filed under: uncultured Actinomycetales bacterium
Lineage: Bacteria; Bacillati; Actinomycetota; Actinomycetes; Actinomycetales
Description: bacterial SSU rRNA
Rfam family: Bacterial small subunit ribosomal RNA
Source: RNAcentral
UGGCUCAGGACGAACGCUGGCGGCGUGCUUAACACAUGCAAGUCGAACGGAAAGGCCCUGCUUGCAGGGUGCUCGAGUGGCGAACGGGUGAGUAACACGUGGGUGAUCUGCCCCGUACUUUGGGAUAAGCCUGGGAAACUGGGUCUAAUACUGGAUAGGACCAUGCUGUAGGUGGUGUGGUGGAAAGAUUUUUUCGGUAAGGGAUGAGCUCGCGGCCUAUCAGCUUGUUGGUGGGGUAAUGGCCUACCAAGGCGUCGACGGGUAGCCGGCCUGAGAGGGUGGACGGCCACAUUGGGACUGAGAUACGGCCCAGACUCCUACGGGAGGCAGCAGUGGGGAAUAUUGCACAAUGGGCGCAAGCCUGAUGCAGCGACGCCGCGUGGGGGAUGACGGCCUUCGGGUUGUAAACUCCUUUCAGCCAUGACGAAGCCUCUUUUGGGGUGACGGUAGUGGUAGAAGAAGCACCGGCUAACUACGUGCCAGCAGCCGCGGUAAUACGUAGGGUGCGAGCGUUGUCCGGAAUUACUGGGCGUAAAGAGCUCGUAGGUGGUCUGUCGCGUCAUUUGUGAAAGCCCGGGGCUUAACUCCGGGUUGGCAGGUGAUACGGGCAUGACUGGAGUACUGUAGGGGAGACUGGAAUUCCUGGUGUAGCGGCGAAAUGCGCAGAUAUCAGGAGGAACACCGGUGGCGAAGGCGGUCUCUGGGCAGUAACU